GACGAACGCUGGCGGCGUGCUUAACACAUGCAAGUCGUACGGUAAGGCCAUUUCGGGGGUACACGAGUGGCGAACGGGUGAGUAACACGUGAGUAACCUGCCCACUCCUUUUUUAUAACGCUAGGAAGCUGGUGCUAAUACUGGUUAUGUGCUCCUGCUGCUUGGUGGGGGUUCGAAAGCUCCGGCGGUUUUGGAUGGAUUCGGGGGCUAUUAUCUUGUUGGCGGGGUAGUGGCCUACCGACGCGGCGACGGGUCGCCGGCCUGGGAGGGUGACCGGCCACAUGGGGACUGAGAUAGGGACCAGACGGCAACGGGAGGCAGCAGUGGGGAAUAUUGCACAAUGGGCGCAAGUCGGAUGCGGCAGCGCCGGGGGCGGGAAGACGUCUUGUGGGGUGUAAACGGUAGCAGCAGGAACGAAGCUUGUUGUGACGGUACCUGAAGAAGAAGCACCGGCUAACUACGUG
This 464-nucleotide ribosomal RNA is filed under the name uncultured bacterium. Its description in RNAcentral is "partial 16S ribosomal RNA". It matches the Rfam family "Bacterial small subunit ribosomal RNA", at positions 28 to 507 of the family's 1533-position model. The record is from RNAcentral.